RNAcentral lists this ribosomal RNA (253 nucleotides) under uncultured bacterium. RNAcentral's name for it is "partial 16S ribosomal RNA". It matches the Rfam family "Bacterial small subunit ribosomal RNA", at positions 524 to 776 of the family's 1533-position model. The record is from RNAcentral.
UACGUAGGCAGCAAGCGUUGUUCGGAUUUACUGGGCGUAAAGGGUGUGUAGGCGGUUCUUUAAGUUUGGUGUGAAAUCUCCCGGCUUAACCGGGAGGGUGCGCCGAAUACUGAGGGACUAGAGUACGGGAGAGGAAAGUGGAAUUCCUGGUGUAGCGGUGAAAUGCGUAGAUAUCAGGAGGAACACCGGUGGUGUAGACGGCUUUCUGGACCGUAACUGACGCUGAGACACGAAAGCGUGGGUAGCAAACAGG